This 254-nucleotide ribosomal RNA is filed under the name uncultured bacterium. RNAcentral describes it as "partial 16S ribosomal RNA". It matches the Rfam family "Bacterial small subunit ribosomal RNA", at positions 524 to 776 of the family's 1533-position model. The record is from RNAcentral.
UACGGGGGGAGCAAGCGUUGUUCGGAUUUACUGGGCGUAAAGGGCGCGUAGGCGGUCAGCACAAGUCAGUUGUGAAAUCUCCGGGCUUAACUCGGAAAGGUCAACUGAUACUGUGCGACUAGAGUGCAGAAGGGGCAACUGGAAUUCUCGGUGUAGCGGUGAAAUGCGUAGAUAUCGGGAGGAACACCGGUGGCGAAGGCGGGUCUCUGGGCAUUCCCUGACGCUGAGGCGCGAAAGCGUGGGGAGCAAACGGG